GUCUCAGUAGCAUAGUGGUUAGUGCACAGCCCCGGUUAGGUUAAGACGCUGAUUCGAAUCCGCCUGAGAUG
Molecule: transfer RNA, 71 nt
Filed under: Nippostrongylus brasiliensis
Lineage: Eukaryota; Metazoa; Nematoda; Chromadorea; Rhabditida; Heligmosomidae
Rfam family: tRNA
About the family: Transfer RNA (tRNA) molecules are approximately 80 nucleotides in length. Their secondary structure includes four short double-helical elements and three loops (D, anti-codon, and T loops).
Source: Rfam by way of RNAcentral